CGGGCCGACCAGUGAAUUUGACGUUGCGUGUCCCUGCCCAGGUGGGUUGGCGCAAGAUGGAACACAAGAGGGGCAAUGUAUUAUCCCACGCCGGGGGGUGCUCGUAGUAGGGGUUACAAGCGUCGCGCGAGAGAGAGAGGGCCUGUUCAUUUGCCCGUUCCUCCGCGCGACCUCUGACCCUCCCGCAGGAAGGGUCUGGACCUCCCUUUUAUAGAUGUAAGGAGAGGGUCCAGAUGUACAAUGGGGGGUGUAGCAAUGUGCUAACGUGUCCGGCAGUGGAGUGCCUGAGCCCUGUGUGUAUGCCAACGUGGCUGCCGGAGAAGCGCUUGAGCCUUAUGUACGAGAUAACGUGGCCGUCGGAGGAGCGCCUGAGCCCUGUAGAAGCACAGCUGGUGGUGCGGCUGGGAUCCUGCUGACGUCUCCUUGCUUCCGUAGGGGGCUGAGAACCACCUACGUCAUGGACGCACGCGAGGAACCAUCAUUACCCAUUUACCGGGGCGAGCCAGAUGGGACGUCGGUCUUGUUCCCUCGUAGCCUGAGCUAGCUAGGGAUAGGGUAAUGAUGUAUCCCCUGUGGCGCGGUCGGUCCGAGCCCAAGGUCGGGCGAGGCGGAGACUUCUCCCGAGGCCGAGGCCGGGGUCGGGCGAGGACGUGAUUUCUCCUGAGGCCAAGGCUGAGGCCGAGCCAUGGGGUCGGGCGAGGCGGAGACCCCCUCCUGAGGCCGAGGCCUAAGGUCGGGCGAGGUGGAGCUUCCUGUUGCGCCCAAGGCUGAACUCGGUUGUUGUCAGCCUUACCCUGGUGGGUGGCACGGCAGUCGGAGCGGGGCGAGCGACGCUGUUUUCCUGUCAGGUCGGUCAGUGAAAGGGCGAAGUGACCGCGGUCACUUCGACCUUGCUGACUGAGACGCGCGUGUCAGGAUAAGGUGCCAGGCGAUCGCCGCAUUGAAUGCGUCUGCGAUACGGUCGGUUGGUGAGGCAAUUUGGCCAAGGUUGCUUCACAACGAAGCCUGCCCGAGCUAGGCUUCGGGCGAGCCGAGGGUGCGCCCACUGCCUGUGGAGGCCCUCGGGCGAGGCGUGAAUUCGUCUGGGACUACAGUUCUGGCCCGAGGCUAGGCUCGGGCGAGAUCGCGUCCCGUGGGUAGACGAAACCUUGACUUGAACCGCGCCCAUCAGUCUUUGUUGUUUGUGCUGAUGGUGCUUACCAGCCAUGAUUAGGAGUGUUGGGAGUACCCCUAAUUACGGUACCCGACAAUUAUCUUUUUGCUUUUUUGCCUAUCAAAGUCAAAGUUGCAGAAUAUGAUUGAGAUUCAUGCAUUUACUAUGCUUUGAUAAUAUUGCUACCUCACGAGCAAAAAAACGGAUUGUUAAACAACAAUUUGGUUACAUAAAUUGCAGAAUUGUGUAAUCAGUAGUGUGUUCCAUGUUUCAUAUAUAUGAAAAAAUUGUGCUACAUUUGUCAGACCUUAUGAGAAGGAAAGUUUUGGUAAACUAUUAUUUAAUUUAAUAUAAGAUAUCUAUCACUUAGUAAUUGAAUAAUAUUGUAGCAAUUUGAUUUCCAUCUCAGCUCAUGCUAAAUAUUAUUACAACUAAUGUAUAUGACUAGCAAUAAUCAACAUGCACAAUGAUGAGUAUCUUGUUCCUUUCCAAAAUGAUCAAGAAAAAGAGUUGAAGGUUGUGCAGGAGGCUGGACUCUGCAGAGUAGAGGUAAUUGCAGCAAGAGAGGCUGUUCUUGAACGUCAAAAUAUAUGAGGAGAAGCUAAAAAACAACAGGAUCAAGUCCAUCAUCGAGGUCAGCAUCUUCAAAAGGGUACUCGGCAUCAUCUUGCAUAUCUGGAUUCUGGCAUGGAAGUCUAGAAACAUUACUUCUAUCGACUUUGCACGGAACCACACAAGCAGCUCCUUCCUAAACUCCCAUGAUAGAUCGCGUAAGAAAUAAAUGUUCUACAUAGAACACACAGUAGGGGAAACAGUCAGGAAAUCUAACCGCAUUUACAGGCUCAGAGUCAGCUUUUGGGGGGUUCUCAACAUGAUCCUUCCUUUUAUUCUUUUUCUUACUCUUGGUAGCUUUCCUGCCUCCUGAACCUGUCAAAUGGUUAUAUAGAGCCUAAGAAUAUUUUUAUUUAAACAAAACAUAAAUUGUCAUCAUACAAGAUAAGUGUUGUAGAAAUGCAUAUGUUGUAUUAGAUUUGUGGCUAUACAAAAAGGGAUCUAGUCGAAAUGAUGGUAUAAGUGAUAGGCUAGCGGUAGCAACAAUUGAAAAAAAAAA
Molecule: long non-coding RNA, 2264 nt
Organism: Zea mays
Lineage: Eukaryota; Viridiplantae; Streptophyta; Magnoliopsida; Poales; Poaceae
Exons: 2
Source: RefSeq, a predicted model, not a curated record